GCAAACUUGGUCAUUUAGAGGAAGUAAAAGUCGUAACAAGGUUUCCGUAGGUGAACCUGCGGAAGGAUCAUUGGAGAUUUAGUAAUCCAAUCACCCUUGUGCAAUCUGCGUAGUCUGAUAUCCUUGGAGAGAUCAUUUUGUGUGAACUCUCCAAGGAGGUUAUCAACAUUAAUGUAUCUUUUCUUUACUUUUAUGUCUAAAUAAAUAAAUAAAUAAAUUAUAAUCGAAACAACUUUCAACAACGGAUCUCUUGGCUCUCGCAUCGAUGAAGAACGCAGC
RNAcentral lists this unclassified non-coding RNA (279 nucleotides) under uncultured fungus. RNAcentral describes it as "partial contains small subunit ribosomal RNA, internal transcribed spacer 1, and 5.8S ribosomal RNA". The stretch from base 1 to 73 matches the Rfam family "Eukaryotic small subunit ribosomal RNA", at positions 1759 to 1831 of the family's 1831-position model. The record is from RNAcentral. Lineage: Eukaryota; Fungi.